Molecule: long non-coding RNA, 261 nt
Organism: Empidonax traillii (willow flycatcher)
Lineage: Eukaryota; Metazoa; Chordata; Aves; Passeriformes; Tyrannidae
Exons: 3
Source: RefSeq, a predicted model, not a curated record
CAGCGCCGACUCGCCCGCGCCCGGCUCCGAGGAGGACUCGGCCGGCCCGCCGCGGGCCCUGCACAGCCCCGAGUGGGGCGAGGAGCGAUUCCGGGUGGAUAGGAAGAAACUGGAGGCCAUGCUCCAAGCUGCUGCAGAGGGCAAAGGGAAAAGUGGGGAAGACUUUUUUCAGAAGAUUAUGGAAGAAACAAAUACACAGAUUGCUUGGCCAUCUAAGUUGAAGAUUGGAGCGAAAUCAAAAAAAGGUAUUUUAGCUUGUUC